Molecule: non-coding RNA, 9106 nt
Organism: Rattus norvegicus (Norway rat)
Lineage: Eukaryota; Metazoa; Chordata; Mammalia; Rodentia; Muridae
Source: RefSeq, a predicted model, not a curated record
AGCUAUCACGCUGGUUGACACUUAAGUCACUUAGGCCAGGGCACAUGCCUACCGCUUCAUCUCCCCAGCCCCAUGCAGAGCGCUGGGUCAUACAUCCCAGUGUGCCCUGAGUGGUCCCAGGGUGAGGUGAUUUCUUUUGUGUGCCCGGUCCUUUAAAGGAUCUCCAGUCGCUAGUCAGCUGGCCCUUUAAGAGAACUGCUUGACCUUCAGUGUCAUUGCCUCUUAGACUUCUGGGAACAGGAGAGGACAUGAAAACCCAGCAAAGGCUGAGAAAGGAAGACUAGGUUCCAGGUGGCAGAAGAAUAAAGCCAGAGAAGACAGUUGAUGCAGGAAGAAGAAGGACUGGAUAGGGCUAGAGGAGAGAAGACAGUCUGAGAAGAGAGACUGAGCAGAGUGGACAUAGGAGACUGUUGAGCCUGGAGAAGCUGAGCUGAGCAGAAGGUGGUCUGCAGGAUCUCUGCCACCUAUGGAGGGUUCAUGACACCCUUGUCACUAGGCUGUCUGCUCUCUGGUGUCAUAGGCUCUACCCCUCAGAGCUCUGGGGGUCUGCAGUCAAAAGGAACUCGGCUGCCUCAUCUCCCGUCUGUGCAGAUGUGGGUUUCCUUGUGGAUGUGAGGCCCAUGUUGGCCUUUCCAGUUCCCAUUCUCCGGCCCUAACUACUGAGGCUCUGAGCACCUUGGGGUUGAGUUUCUCUUCUGGCCUCAGGUCAUCCCUGCGUCUGGCUGGAACCUGAGCAGGACUGUGUCCCUGGUGCCCUAAAGCUGGCUGAUCAAAUAUCCAUCUGACUCUGGAAUUUGUCAUAAUGACUUGAAGUCUGUAGUCCAACUGCCCCAACAAUGGACAGCCGUGAAUGGGAAGUCCAAGAGUCUAGAAGUUGCUCAGUCCCACGAGGCUAGCAGUUUCAGCUGUUCCUCCGUAGAAGUUGGUUCCAGCAGAGGUGCUGGUGAGUAAAUGCAAGCAGGUGAAAAAGAGCAAAUCUUCCUUUUUCCAUCAUCCUUAUGUAGGCCUCCAGCAGAAGGUGCAGCCCAGAUUAAAGGUGGGCACCACCAUGCCUGGAUCUGAAACUUGCUUUGUCUCAAAUUGGCCUUGAACCCAGAGAUCUCCUUACCCCAACCUCCUGGGACUAAAUGCAUGUAUUACCUUGUCUGGGCCUAAGCUUUUCACGGCCACUAUGCCUCAUGAUCUCCAUUUCAAGAUCCAGGCCAGAUGCCUGUGUCUUUCCAGCCUCAAGAUCUGGAUCACAGGUGAGCCCUCCAAUUCUGGAUUGUAGUUCAUUCCAGAUGUAGUCAAGUUGACAACCAGGAAGAGCCGUCACGGGGUCAUCAGAGGUCUCAACAGAAGUCAGGCUUCGAGACAGCAUUUUAAAGGAUCAGUGUUUCCUCCUGCCUUGGUGUCUCUGUCAUUGUAAAUGAACUACUGGACCUGGCAGUAGCAAACCCGGGUUUGAAUCCGGGGGCCGCCUCAUACCUGCUGUAUAGCCUGGGCACCCAUGCCUUUCCCAACCCAAUGUCCCUACUGUGAAGCCAGGAACUGUGAAACUCAUCAUUGGCUUAUGAAUCAGGUGGGGUGCACUGAAUGUGCGGGUGCCCUGUCAACAUGGCUAUCCUGCCUGCUGACCUGCAACAUCCAACCAAAGGUCCCCCUUUGUAUGUGCCCUGGCAAUGGGUACCACAUGCUUAGCCUUGAAACCCCUGUCCAACACACCAACAAAAGACCAGCCCAGGAAAGAACUGGGGUCCCUUCAUGGCUACAAGCAGCCUCUGACUUCUACAGAGGGUCAGACAGCCAUGCUCAAAAGGAGCAGCAGCAGUUUGGAAAAAUGUCCCAGGUGAAGCAACAGGUCUAAGGGUCAUCCUGUCACCCCGGGCAACACCCCAGGGACCACACUAUGUGGGAAACCACAGGCAUCCUGCUGAGCCAGGAGGUGGCUCAGGAGAGCUCAUCUCUGGCAGUGAGGAUGGUUAGAGACAGCAGAUCAAUCAUUUUUGUCUGUUUUUCUUCUCUGUGUAUGUACAAAAAAGAGAUAAUAAAAUCUCCCAGUAAAAUUAAGUGUUCCCAAUAAGGAUUCUAAAAGCGGUAUGUGAGGGUUUAAUAGGCUGUUUUGUUUUCGUUUUUUCCUUCGGUGGCCCAUCGCAUGACAGCCGACAGUAGAGAUUGGAUGGAAUGUAGUAUUCAUUCCAGACCCAGAUCUGACUUAAAAAGUUCAGCUCAGCUGUUCAACAGCCCUGUGAACUUGACUGCAGCAUCGCUUAAUCCCUUUGAGUGUCAGUUUCCUCAUCGACCUUGGGGUAAGGGGAGAAUAGGGCUCUUUGAAUUCUAGGUGAAAACGCAAAACAACUCAAACUGGCUCAAGCUAAAGAAAGGGUCAAAGCACAUCUCCUUCCAACCGCAGGUUCCAGAUGCCAUUUUUCCUAGGCUUCAGUGGUGUUUCCAGAUCUCAGAGCUCACUGCCAGAUCCCAGCCUCUCUGGGCUGGUCUGCCAUUCCUGUGCUCUGAUUGGAUACCAGGCCCCACCAUGAGCCAAUCCUCAUUGCCAGGAAAUGGCUGGAACCUGAUUGGUCAGAUCUGCCAAGGCGCUGAGGGUGGAGUCAGUUCCACCAUCUUGAAGUCUUCACAGCCAAAAGUUGGUGGGUGCUCCCUAGGGUGCCCAAACCCAACCUCAUAGAUCACCACGCCUGCUCCCAUAUAGAGAAGUUUGUGCGUGCUGGUAACAGGGGUUGCCAUAUAGUGGGGCUCUGUCGGGUCAGUCUUCCUUUCCUCACAUUGGGGGCGAUCUGUUCUUUGGGACUCACCAGGGGCUGGUCACAUGGGUGUGUAGGUAUAGAGGUGAGGUGAGGAGGGGUGUGGGCAUUCAGAAGGGGUGUCCUACAAGUAAUAGCCUGUUCCCAGAAAGAGGGGUUCAGACUUUGUUUCCUAGGCAGACUGUGCACAACUCUCGUGGGAAGGGCGUAGAGGAAACAUCUGGAUGGCGUCACUGCGGACUCUGCAGGUGGGGGAGUUAGCACUCAACUUCCUUUUCUGGGAUAAGCACCUGUGUGGAAUGGAAGUCAGCGCUUGGAGGUACUUGUGAGACCCACGGAGCAUGUGUCCUAAGAACCGCCUGAGCUUCUUCUAGAUGGAAUUCUCUCCUAAAACCUUUGCUACAAACAUCCAAACGUAUGGCGUUAGAGCAGGUGGUGGUCAGACAGCUGAGAGGAAGAGCUUGGAAACGGGGGCUGCUGGCGGGAUAAGGGAUCAUCACACCGGGCUCACUAAGGAGGCAGAGGCCUUUCUGAGUGGGUACAGAGAACUCGGUGCAGAACGUUCCUUAUCCGCUCAGCAAGGUCCUCUGCCGUUUCCCUCCCACCUCUGGACCCCUAUCCAGACAUUAACCAGCUACAAAGGGAUCAACUUCUACAGUGCUAUUUGUGGCUUUCAUGGCCCACGUGGGUCUCCUACUUGGUACAGAGGAUGCCUUUGUGUACCAGGAGGGCCAGCAGAGGAGGCCGGCCCCUCCUGCCAUUUAAUCCCAGCCCACAGCAUCAGCUGCCUUUGCAGGGACAAUUCCUUUCCUUUCCAAAUAGGGACUCAAAAGCUGUCCGUGUUUCUUGCUGCUCCCAUACCUUCAGAGCUGUGGUGUGUGUGUGGGGCAGCUGAUGUUCUUCCCUGCCCCAGGAAACCAUUCUACGGGAACAGGAAGCACACGGGAAAUGGGGAUUGGGUUUACCUCGAGAGACCCACACUUCUUUUAGUUGAUCUGGUGACUGACACAAGUUGGCACAGUGGCUGGCCCCACAGGACCCCAGCAGGCAAAGGCUGACCAAUUACGGUGGACUGGGCGCUACUCACGUUAUAAAGGUGCUCGGACUUCGACGGACAGACAUAAUUAGAGGAGGAUGUUUGCACCCAAGCCACCUUCCUCGCGCGUACUGCAGAUGGAAGAGUAUAUGGCUGUCUCGGAGGAAGAUGAGUCCCAAUCAUCCUGUACAAGCUACUGUUGGCUGCCCCAUCCUUUCCGUAUCUUGCCUUCUAUAUCUCCUUGGCCUUCUGCCUUUUCUUGGUUUCUGGGUCCUCACCCUUGCGCACCACUUCGCUGGGUGGACUCUGCAUAUCCGAGAGUGUAUCGUAUUGUUAGCACCUGUGCCACACCUGCCAGGUGCUCAUUGGCUGGCACUGACCGGCUCAGCAGUGAAGGUUUGGGGGUGACACUGUGCCACAAUGUUCCAGUGGCCUUAGAGAGGGCACCCACCCCUGCCCCUCUCCUUUUGGGAAGGCUGCAGGCCAGAUCAUGGCAGGAAGGUUUCUUAAAGCCGCCUUGAGUGUCUGGGAGACAGUGCAACCAAGAGGUGCUUUUUCUGAAAAUUCAAGGACCUGGGUUUGAACCUCAGAGACCUAUGAGAAAAAAAAAACAGCCAGGGUGUGUGGUUCUAAUCCCAGAGCUGGGGAGGUGGAGACAGGAGGAUGCCUAAGACUUGCUGGUAAGCCAGUCUAGCCUACUUGGCAAGUGACAGACUGUAACUUUAACUUAUUUUUAAACCUCAUUUUUAGCUAUGGUUCUUUAGUGCCUUAACUUCCCUGGUGGUCCAUGAUCCACCAGAGAUAGUGGGAAAGAAAGGAUGGGAGGGGGAGUGGACCUGUUUAGAAAGGUUCUUUGGAGCAACUCCUGUCUGUGUUGUCUGGAAAUCAAUUCAGUUCACAGGUCAGCAAUGGCAGCUCCAUCCACUGGAAAACACCUCACAGAUACACCAGCAGUCCAGUUCUGUAGAGUCAGGUGAGCAACAGUGGUGACACGAUCUGGCAGAGACAACCAGGCCUCAGCCUCGGCACCAGUCAGCAGGAGGGACCAACAGGAACACCAGGAGAAGUUCUAGGCGGUGCCUCUCUCAGGGAUGCGAAGAUCAGGGAAGACUGGAGACCCACAGGAAUUGCACGUCUAGCUGUACCAGCAAGCCAUGCUCAGCCGCUGUCACUGUCUGUUGAGUCCUAUUUAUAAUCUCCAAAGGUCACGUGUCCUCCACGUGCAUCCAAUCUGCCUGAGUCCACAGAAGCGGCAACAAACUGCAGCUCACCACCAGAGAUUUUUUUGGUGCAUUUCUCUCUAUGGAGUCCCAACAAGUGCAGCUCAACCAUGUAAGGCAGACCAGUACAUGUGUGUUGUUAGCAAAGAAAUCCUUCAUCACGUGUCCUUUCACACGCUUGCUUUAGCAGAACAUCCUCUCUCUCUUGUGUCUGCUUCAGAAAAGCAUCCCUUCAUAACUCUGCCUUAGCCUUUCACACCUGUAUCCACUUUAAUGAAGCACUUCACGUGUUUGCCACGGCAAAAACACCAUCCAACUGACUUCCCAAAGAACCCUUAAGUCCCCACUUCAACAGAUCAAUGUGAGACCUGUCUUAGGAAACAGUGUGGGUAUCAUCCCAAGAGAGCACUGCCUGAGGUUGGCCUUUGGCCUCUAUAUGUAAAUGCACACACACACACACACACACACACACACACACACACACACACACAGAGAGAGAGAGACAGAGACAGAGACAGAGAGACAGAGACAGAGAGACAGAGACAGAGAGAGAUACAGAGACACAGAGACACACACAGAGACAGAGACAGAGAGACAGACAGAGAGACAGAGAGACUGAGAAACUGUCUCAUACAGAGACAGAGACAUAGGGAGAGAGUUAUGUACACACAUACACACACACAUACAAAAACAAAAUCAAUAAAACCUUGCAUUGAUUGAAUGCAUCAGAAUGUUAGCCACAACUUCUGGCUAGAGUGGAGACCUGCAACUUCUGAUGGGUAAUAACUCCUGUCUCAUCUCUUCCUCUAGGUCAUGACCACAUGGGCACAUUCACUUGCCAAAAUCCUUUAAAAUGUUAAACGUUCCACAACUCCAACAGACGCAUGGAUGUCUAUAAAUACCUGUGGAAUGACGUAUGGAGGACAGCGAGGUUCCUCACAAUCAACCUUAUGUUGCUAUAGCAAUGCCGUGGACUGGUAAUUUAUGAAAUGAAACACUUCCAACAGCUCUGGCAGCUGCUAGAGCCAAGGCUGAAGGAUGGCUCUUUCUUUGAGGCAGGGUCUUGGUAGGUAGUCCUUGAUGACCUCAACUUAGUGUCUCAGUUAGGGUUUUAUUGCUGUGAACAGACACCAUGACCAAGGCAACUCUUAUAAAGACAACAUUUAAUUGGAACUGGCUUACAGCUUCAGAGGUUCAGUCCAUUAUCAUCAAGGCAGGAGCAUGGCAGCAUCCAGGCAGGCAUGGUGCAGGAGGAGCUGAGAGUUCUACGUCUUCAUCUGAAGGCUGCUAGCAGAAUACUGAUUGCUAGGCAGCUAGUAGAAGGGUUUUGAAGCCCACACCCACAGUGAUGCCUCUACUCCAACAAGGCCACACCUAGUCCAACAAGGCCACACCCCCUCCAACAAGGCCACACCCUCUCCAACAAGGCCACACCUAUUCCAACAAGGCCACACCUCCAAAUAGUGCCACUUCCUGGGCCAAGCAUAUUCAGACCAUGACACUUAGGAUCUUCCUCCCUCAGCCUCUCAACUGCUGGGACGACAGGCAUGUGAUGCCCGCUGGGUGUGCUGGUUAGUUUUAGUUUCGUUUAGUUUCAUUUAGUUUUUGUCAAGUUGACACAUGCCAGGGUUACCUGGCAAGAGAGAACUUCAGUUGAGGACAUCCUCCAUUGGAUUGGCCUAUGGACAAGACUCUAGGGCAUUUGCUUCAUCAAUGAUGGAUAUGGGAGAGCCCAGAUCACUACAGAUGAUGCCACCCCUGGGCAGGUGGUCCUGGGGUCCUGCUCAGGGCCCACUGAGCAGGCCAAUAAGCAGCACCCCUCCAUGGUCUCUACUUCACUUCUCACCUCCAGGUUGCUGUGUGAGUUCCUGCCUUGGCUUCCCUCCAUGAUAAACUAUGAUGUGGAAGUAAAAACUAAACUUUUCCUCCAAGGUUGCUUUGGUGCCAGUGUUCAACACAGCAGGGGGAGGCAAGCCUGGACGGAUGGCCAUGAUAGAGGCUUCUGUAGAAAGUAAACCAUGACAGUUUCUACAGGAAGUGAACCAUGAUGGAUGGCCACAAUAGAGGCUUCUGUAGGAAGUAAGCCAUGACGGAUGGCAGCGAUAGAGGCUUCUUUCUGUGUCACUGCUUCUCGUCACGGUGGAGGAGGCCACCACAAGGCUGGAGAAAUGUGUCCUCUCAUCUCUAUUCCCCUACUAUUAACCCCUGGUCCCAUCAUGGACCCUAACCCAACCGCCUGGCCUUCUCUAGCCCCCAUUACCUCCAGAUAGCAUCAACAUUCGAAUGUGGGGACUAAGCUUUCUAUAUGUAAGCGUUGGGGACACAUUCAGGUCACAGCACUGAUGGUGACGAUUCUAUUAGCAAUUUGACACCAUAACAAAAAACCACACGCAGAAAACCACAGCAAGCACCACUUAGCUGAGCGCACUCAGUGCAGGCAUCCAGCUCGCCCUCCUUCUUGACUGACUGCAGGUGCAGUGUGAUUGGCUACCUGAAGUGCCUGCUGCUGUAUCUUCCCCACAGUGAUGGAUGACGUUCAAACCAAAAUAAACCCUUUCCACCUUCACGGGGCUCUGUGCCAGGUCUUUGGUCACGGCCACAGAAACAUGUUUUGUGUAAUUUUAAAAGGCCGUUUUUAAUGGCCAGGCACUUUGAAGCCUCCUGUGGCUAAUGUGCCCUUAUCCUCACUCCUUGCUGAACGUCUCUGAAUCUGUCCUCACCUUAGCUAUGUUUCUAAUCUCCUGCCUGCUCCCCAGACCCAGAUGGGGAGGCGGCCAAUGGCCAUUCCACCCGGGUUCUCGCAUGGCUGGUAGCUCUUUCUCCCUCCAAAGCAUGAAUCCUUUUCCUCCUUUCCUGCAUCUUCUAGUAUGCCUGCGGUAAACUGGAAGUCUUGUCUUGUCGCGCGCCCAACGUCUCGCCAGCAUAAACGACACGUGGCAACAGGAUUCUUCUGCGAACAAGCCUUCACUGUACAGCUCUCUUGAACAGGGACAGGGGACCACGAGCGGCAAAGUCGCUCGCCUUAUAUACACAACAGUAUGCUAAUAACCUCUCAGGGAUUGGUGGGGCACGGGUCACUCCACUACCACCCCACUAUCACCCCCACCAGCAUGGUACCGCCCCCCUCAUUAGCAUAUUACCGGCCAACUGACACCAGGUGCAAAACCUGCGCAUGCGCAGUACCGUUGUUCACCACUGGAGGGGGCGCCCUACAUUGUCUUUUCUGCCCAGACGUUGGCCUCUAGCACCUUUAUUGAUUGAUCAAGAACCAAUUAGGGAACAGGACCUUUGGCGUUCAUUCAGAGCAUUCUUCAGAUCAGAGUGUCAAAACCACCCCCUACAGGUGUGGCCUUGUUAGAGGAGUCCUGUCAUUGGAGGUGGACUUUGAGGUUUCAAAAGUAGAUAUCCCAGUGUCUGCCUGUGGAUCAGAUUGGCUUUCAGCUACUGCUUCAGUCCCAUGCUUGCCUGCUAAAGGAACAUGGGGGGUGAUUCAUGGACUCUAAACCUCUGGAACCAUAAGCCCAAAUAAAACAUUUUCUUUUCUAAGUUGCCUUAUAAGUUGCUUUGGACAUGAUGUUCUGCCAUGGCAAUAGAAGAGUAGCUAAGACCCUCCCCCCUCAGCGCUCACAACCCUUUAGACUCUUGGAUUUGUAUUUCUGGCCCCAGAGACCCUGAGGGAAUCAAUUUCUGAUGUCUUAAGUUUCUACUGUGUCUGGGGUGGAACCAAUAUGGUGGCCUGGAUCUGUACUUUAUUUUGGUUAGUUUUUUUUUUUUAAUCAGUUUGACAUAAGUUAGAGAGUCAUUUGGGAAGAAGAAACCUUAGCAGGAAAAUGCCCCCACCACAGUGGCCUAUGGGCACUUUCUUGAUUCAUGAUUGAUGUGGGUAGGGCCAUCCUACUGUGGGCGGUACCUACUCUGGGCAAGUGGCCUUAGAAUGUGUAAGAAAACCAGCUGAGCAGGCCAUGAGACCAAGCCAGUGAGCUGCAUUCCUUCAUGGCUUCUGCUAUAGCUCCUGCCUCUGGGUCCCUGUCUUGAGUUCCUGCCCCAAGGUCUUUCGAGGACAGACUAUGAUGGGAAACUGUGACCAAAAUAAACCUUUCCUCAAAUUG